This 468-nucleotide ribosomal RNA is filed under the name uncultured bacterium. RNAcentral's name for it is "partial 16S ribosomal RNA". It matches the Rfam family "Bacterial small subunit ribosomal RNA", at positions 28 to 507 of the family's 1533-position model. The record is from RNAcentral.
GACGAACGCUGGCGGCGUGCUUAACACAUGCGAGUCGAACGGAAAGGCCCUGCUUUUGUGGGGUGCUCGAGUGGCGAACGGGUGAGUAACACGUGAGUAACCUGCCCUUGACUUUGGGAUAACUUCAGGAAACUGGGGCUAAUACCGGAUAGGAGCUCCUGCUGCAUGGUGGGGGUGGGAAAGUUUCGGCGGUUGGGGAUGGACUCGCGGCUUAUCAGCUUGUUGGUGGGGUAGUGGCUUACCAAGGCUUUGACGGGUAGCCGGCCUGAGAGGGUGACCGGCCACAUUGGGACUGAGAUACGGCCCAGACUCCUACGGGAGGCAGCAGUGGGGAAUAUUGCACAAUGGGCGGAAGCCUGAUGCAGCAACGCCGCGUGCGGGAUGACGGCCUUCGGGUUGUAAACCGCUUUCGCCUGUGACGAAGCGUGAGUGACGGUAAUGUGUAAAGAAGCACCGGCUAACUACGUG